GGGCAGACAUAAAGCUUGUCAAAUUGUUAACCAAAUUUAAUUCAUUGAUCUGUAUUAUAUCAAUCAACAAUCGACUUGAUUGUCUUUCAAAUAUUGUAACAUGAUUAUCAUGGUUAAUGUUUGAUUGGGUUUCCCAGCCCGCUCAAUAUGAACGCGGGAAAUUGCGUUGCUAUAACCACACUUAUUUUUUAACGUUACAUUUUAAUGCGUAUUAAUUUUCCAUUUGUCAAUUUUUAAUUAAUUUUUGACAAAUUACUAAUUCUAGUUAUUAAAAUUGUGUUGUACCAAAUUGUUAAUAAAAUAAUCCUCAUUACAUCGGUUUACAGUUUACUGUGAUUUUUAUCUGAUUUAUGUGUCUUUCCAACAACUGAAAGUGGAUCAACUUGACUUUUCAUGUUAUAUCGUCUGGUUUAUCAUCUGCUUCUUCAGUUGUCUCUGCCUUUUUUCACCAUAAUCUCAACUGCAGCCAUUAUUUUUGUAAGAUUUCCCUGAUAUUUAAAGGAAUUUUAAUUUCAUCUUUUCUCAAAUCUAUUCAUGAAACUUGACAUGAUGCAUUCCUUGGUUCUUUGAUCAACUUGUCUCACCAACAAUGUCACAUUUUUACCUCACCACAAUUGCUUUGGUUUCUUGAUUGUAACCCAUUUUGUUUUCAACCAUUACUGCCCGAUCAUUACUCACUGCAACACCAUUAACCAUUUCACUCUCAAUUGGACUUUCUCAUUUUAAUUCAUGCUUCUACUUGAUUCAUGUUAAACAAUACUAUUGACUAAUUUGAACCAGCAUUGGGAGCCAAGUCAUGUCACUUCAAUUAACCUCAAUGACUACCAAUGGAGGUUAUUUACUUUUAACUGGCAUCCAUUAUUUUAUACGACUGUAAAAUGGGCCUUUGUACUUGAGUUAACUGGAAUUCCAUUCGAUCUAACGGUCAAUCCAGCUUGUGUCCAGUCGCACAAUUUCAUGCAACCAAUUUUCUUCCUCUAAUUGGCUUUACAAAUUAGUAUUUAAACACCAUUGAUCCAGUCGAUUAUUGUUUUGCGUAUAAUCAUUUUGCUUUACCAGUUCCUUUAUUGCUGAUGGUGCAUUAUUUCUUUGGUUUAAUCAUUCAAAUCAAUUCUUUCUAUUUUUUUGCACAACAAUACCAAUUCUGGUUUCAAUAGACACUUAUUACAAUUGAAUUUGCCCUUUGCUGUUGUAGCUCAUUUAAAACUGAGCUAAUACUCAAUGACAAUUACAAUAAUUCACUGAAUCACUUUUAAUCAUCAUCAUCAUCAUUACCCCUGUUCAUUGUUUCAGAUGCAACUUUUAAUUUUGUUCAUCAUCAUCGCGUCACUAUCAUCAAUUCUUUACAGCUUUAACGAUUAAUUCAAGUUACAUCAAAUUUGGUUCCAAAUGAGUCGAAAAUUUCAAGAUAAAAGGCUUAAACUAAACCUUUCACACAGAGAAACAGAAAAAAAUGAACCAACUCUAAUUUUCCUCCAGUAAAUUAUAAUAACAGUAUAAUUGGUUUAUACGAUUGUUUUCAAGUUGACUCUGACAGUUGCUCAUUCUGUCUACACUGGAAGAUGUUACCAUAAAUGCCAUGCAUCGUUGGGCGAAAGAGUUACAAAUAUUCAACAAUAUUCAACAAUAUCAAUUGUCUCAACCCUUUCCAGUGUUGGUAUUAAUUAACAUCUACAAACACAAGAAACAGGAGCAAAAUAUACAAAUCACAAAUAAAUGAGAUGAUUAAUGGAGGAAACAUUUUGAUGCUCAAGGCAUUCCCAUUAGAUAUUAUUGCUGCUCAUUUUACUUAUCUAAUAUUAUAAAAGAUGAAAAUGGUUGGUUCAAUAAUAAUGCAGGUCCAAGUGUAUAUUUAAAAGUUGAACAACAAAAAGCUCAAGUAUUCAGGCUUGUUAUUGUGAACAUUGAAUGUUGACAAAACUAUUAUCAAGGUUCCUCUUCCUCUCAUCUGGACUUAUGGUUUGGUUGCUUUUUUUUACUUUUUUUCAUUUCAAAGUGAUUAUUUGCAAAGUUCAUUGAAAAUUCCGAGUUGGUUGCAUCAACAGCAAAAAGGCAUAAAAAGAUGAAAACAUAAACGUAAAGAGGAAAAUUACAAAAAUCAUAUUCUUCAUGGCAAUAAUGCUCUUAUCAUUUCAAUGGUGAUUAGGAUGCUUUGAUAAUGAUGAUGGCCAAGUAAAGAGUUACCAGUUAGCUGUUCAAGCUGAAAAGUGAAAGUGCAAUCGAUAAAGUUAAAUAUUUUUGGGCCUCUUUGAAUGGCUUCGUUACCAUCUUUGUUUUUUUUGGGUCAUCAAAAUUUGUUUAAAACUGGAACUUUAAGAGAGUUGAAAGUUUGGUUCAUUGGUUGACUGAAGUAAGAAGCAAUUAUUGAAAACAUUGAAUGUUUGAUGGAGUAAACAGAGUAUAAACUUUCAUUGGAAGAGCAAAUAAUUUGGCUUUAUUUGAAGCAAUACAAGUUUCCUUUUCAUCAACAAAAUCAUGAUCAUGAUUUUUUAAUAAACUCGCCUUUCAUUGAGUUGGAAAAAAGCAGCUCCAUAAGAUAUUGAUUAAAACAAGAAUCAAUAGUUUCUAUUCAUCUCAAUCAAGUGUACAUUUUAUCGCAGUUUAUCUUGUUUUUCUUUUCUCUUCUUUCCUUUUUCAUCCUUGUUUCUCAAUUCUCUACAUUUGUAUCAACCUCAUAUCAAGAAAAUUAUCAACAUGAACGCCAAUUCAAGGGAUAGCCUUUAAAAGGAGAAUAAACUCAAAGAAUCAGGUCAUCAACAUGUUCAUCUUCUUCCAUUAUCAUCAAACUUUCCAUCAAUAUAUUACAUUAUGAAUGUUGCCUGUUGAACUUUUCUCAUUGCCAGUGAUACGUAUUAAUACACAAAUUCAACUUUGUGCUUACCUCAUGGGAACUGCUAUAUUUGUUUACUUGGAUAAAAAGUGGGUGAUAUUAGAUGAUCAAGAUGAAGACUGAAACUGAACAUCUGACAGAAAAGCUGAACACUGGGAAAGGGUAAAGUGAAAUCAGUUUUAUUAUGUUUGAUUAUUUAGUAAUCUGCAUAAAGUUGAUGGACGCAAAGUAACAACUAACAAGAUAAACAAAGUGAUUUACUUUCUCAGUAAUUUGCAUCAGUAUUCAUUCCAUCCUGUCAAUCAAUAAAUAUUAAUAUUAAUAUAAAAAUCCAUGAAGAUGGUGAAGCAAGGAAGCAAAAUGAUGAACAAGAAGACAAAUAAGACUUGGAAACUUGGAAGAAACUAAAUCUGAAUAAUGAUUUACAGAAACAAUUUGGAUUCAUUCUCGUUGUAAAUAAAUUCCUCCAUUUUCCCAUGGUAACUCAGCUGUUAUCAAUAUAAAUAUAUUGAAUAAAUCAUUUUGUUCAAUUAUUUGCAGGCUAACAAGCAAAGGAUGGCAAGAAAAGUAUGGAUGAAACACUUUCCAUGGAAAUGUCUUUUCAAAGUUUUCCUCACUCUUGCCAGUCAAAAGGAAUAAAUAAAUUAGAUUUCAAAUGUAAAUAAUAAACCAACAAUUAUUACAAUGAUUAUAAUUAUUAUCAUCAGCAGAAGCUAAAUUAGCAAUUAAAAUGUGACAGUCAAGCAAAAGACCAACAAAAAAUGUGUACAUAAAACUGGAAUCAUUAGAGAUGGUAAAGCAACUUGGAUUGAUGUUAAUUACUAAAUCAUGUUCUCAUUUAAGAGUAA
Non-coding RNA from Tetranychus urticae (two-spotted spider mite), 3678 nucleotides. NCBI's taxonomy places the organism in Eukaryota, Metazoa, Arthropoda, Arachnida, Trombidiformes, Tetranychidae. The record is from RefSeq and is a predicted model, not a curated record.